Molecule: long non-coding RNA, 7365 nt
Filed under: Lactuca sativa (garden lettuce)
Lineage: Eukaryota; Viridiplantae; Streptophyta; Magnoliopsida; Asterales; Asteraceae
Description: long non-coding RNA (LSAT_LNC005865)
Source: RNAcentral
UCCAAGGCCUUAAUUAAAGGAGUCCAUGGGUUGCUUAGGGCUUAAGCAUCCAAAUUAGGGUUUCCUUGUUAGAUAACCCUAAUAGCCUCCUAUAUAAAGACCCCCCAAGGCUCAUGAAUUCGUCCAUGCCUUCCCAAGAGGUCCUAGAGACGAAUUCUUACACCUCUCCUCUCUCUUUAUACCUUCUCCAUUUGCUCUUGGUGUUUGUAAGCCAUUAGAGGAGUGACACUUGUGACUCUAAGCCUUCCAAAGUCAAUUCAAGGAGGAAUUGGGAUUGUUAUUGCUACAUAACAAUCAAGGUAAUAUCUUAAACCUAAUUAUAUGUUAAUAUUGAUUUCCAUAUGCUAGAAUUAGGGUUUAUAGUCUUGGAUUCAAAGCAUGUACAAUAGAGAAACCUAGAUCCAAGCAUUAGGGUUUGUAUGAGCACAUAGGAUGUCUUAUGACCAAAACCCAUCAGUGGUAUCAGAGCCUAGCUUGGUUUCAAUUGUAUUGAUGCAUUGUAUAUCUGAAAAAUUCGAUUUUUGGUGUUCUGGAGGCUGGACUCGCCGAGUCCAUAGCUGAACUCGCCGAGUCCAAGGUGACUCGACGAGUCCAAGCCUGACUCGACGAGUCAACUCGUCAGAUGGAGGGUAUUUCGGGAUUUCUUGCUGUUUUUGCUUAUGGAUAGUUACCUUAUCAUGUUAGAUCAAUAUUAAUCCGAUUAUAUGAUAUAUUUGACUAUAUUUUUGAUCUAAUUGAAGAUAUUUAUCAAUUAAUAAGAUAAUUGUUUCCUUAUGUGAUAAUUGAUUAAUUAUUUUGAUUAAAUUGAUAAAUUGUUUUGCAAGAAAUCAUUAAAUAAAUCAAAUAUGGAUAAUUAUGUGAUUAAAUGUUAAUUUAGAUUAUUUGUUAUUUGAUCCUUGUUGUUAUGAAAAGUUUCAUAUUUUCCCCUUUAGGUUUUAUAGUUUAAAUUUGAACCCAAAAGUUUUGUUGUUUUGAAAUUUAAAUAGUUGAAACCCUAAUGUUUUGAAAAAGGUUUCAAAACUUGCCCUCAAGUUUUGGAAUUUAAAUUUUGAUUAAAUGGUUUAAUUUUGAUGUAUAUUUAAAUUCUAAACCCUAAUGUGUUGAAAUGUUUCAAAACUUGCCCUCAAGUUUUGGAAUUUAAAAGUUGAUUAAAAGUUUAAUUAGGAAUGUUAAAUUCUAAAACUCUAGUAUAGUUUUGAAAAAGUUCAAAUCACACCCUUAUGGUUUUAUUAAUUAAUUAAGGUGUAUAAUUAAAAGAGGUUUAAUAAAUCCAUAAAAGUUUAGGUUUACAAUUUAAUUGAAUUAAAAGUAUAAUUGUUAAAUUUGACCACCUAGUAUUUUAAAAGUGUAAAAUACACCCUAUACUAUAUAUAACAUUAAAAGUCUAACAUUAUAUAUAUGUAUGAGUAAAAGUCAGUCUUACCGUUAGUAGGCCUCAUUCACGAAGCUGGUCUAUAAGGGGUGUUUAAGGAAAUUGCCUAUAAAAUGGCGAUUGAAUGGGUAUCCACUCUUACCCACCGCACUCUUGACUAGUGGAGGGUCGUUAGCCGAACGGGUAGGAUAGGACGAAACCUUCCAUUAUAAGUAUAAUGAAGUAUAAAAGUAACUAAAUGUUUUCAUAAAAUUCCCAAUCUUAGUUACUUAGGCAAAAGUGAAUUGAUGCAAUUCCAUGAAAUUACACUUUGUGCCCUUGCGAAGACGUUAGUGGAGCGUGUGUGGUUUACCGGCACACUAAAUGGUUCUAAGCAAAGGUAGCAAAGGGUGACUCAAUGUUUGUCAUAGUUCGGUGGAGCGUGUGUGGUUUACCGGCACAUCGAAUAGGUGACUGUAACAUGUGAGGGCACCAUGUAAGUUUGCAUGGUUAUUCACACCCGCUUUGUGAUCCUCGGCAUCCCAGUCACAAACAAGAGGGGCAUAUCGAGAUUUAAACAUGCCAUUGAAAGUUCAAUGAAUCUCAAAGGAUCUAGGAGUUUUCAUAGAUUUAAAACUUAAAUUUCCUUUUCGUUUUUCAUGGUGGAAAUUAGUGAAUCGUCAUUCACUUACCUUCAAAUAUUCUGCAAUUAGGGUUACGGCAUCCCUCUCCCGAGUUGUAGAAUAUUGUGUUGGGUCCUAGCCUUAGUAUCUCAUUUGGGUGAUUUACUAAGGACUCAAUCAAUCAACUAACUUGAAUUCGUUUUCUCCCGUUUUGUAGAUGUCAAAGUUCGACAACUAUGGUCUUCCCAAAUCCCGUGGAACAAGCAUUCCACAUGAAGAUGGUAUUCCACGAUUCGAUCGAGGAACAAGAAAUCAUGCUUCACUUCCUCCACCUCCUCCAAUUGUUCUCCCUAACCCACAAGAUCGAAGAAUUGAAAGGUUCAAUAUCACUAAAGCCCUAUUGGAAAUGAAACAUGAAGAUGGUAAACCCGUGUGUGCCCACGUUCUAGGAAUGAAAUCACACAUUGAUAGGUUGAUAAUGUUGGGUGUGUCAUUCCCGGAUGAGUUGGCUGUGAACUGGGUUUUGCAGUCACUCCCUGAAUCGUAUAAUGAGUUCAAAAGAAAGUAUUAUAUGAUGGAUCAUGACGAUAACCUCAUUGACCUAACUUACAUGCUCAUUGCUGCUGAAUCAGAAAUGAUUUGGCGAAGCAAUGGAGCGUAUUUGUUGGGAAAGUCAACCGACCAUGCUUCUGAGGACGUUCUAGGAGAACCGACCUGCGUUUGCUGCCAAGAGAAAGGGCGUUGGAUACAAGUCUGCCCAAAGAGCCUGAAGAGUCCAGAAGAUGGGAGAGUCAAAGAGUAUGGCUGCGCUUCAGGUAAAAUCCACUAUCUAACUCCGUCAAGUUCCUAUUCAUUGAUUAUUGAUACCUGAUGUGAUAAGAUUGCAUUUGAAUGUUUUGCAGGAUCGGUGAAAAGAAAGGAAGCUUGGUAAGAGAGCAAGAAGAAUCUAAUCACAAAGAAAUGGAUCUAGAUUGCAUGAACUUGAAGAUUAGAUUUUGAGCUUAGAUAGUUAUGAUAGAGUUGUUAGGUAUUUUCUUUUUGAAUACAUAGUUUUCAGUUGAUUUUGCAAUGUAAGGACAAAUGUUUUCCGCUGCAUUUAUAAAUAAAAUAAAUUUUGGUUUGACUUAUUUAUUUAUUUGUUUAUUUCCUUGCAAUGAAAUCGUUAUGAAAAUUGAUGUUUGCAUAUUUCUACAACAAGUGGAUAUAAUUCUUGUUUAUGAUGUUUAUGGAAAGUCGAGAAUUUACCAAAUAGGGAGAGUUUCUCAUCGCCCAAGUUUCAAUUGGACAGAAACUUGGAAUCACGCAACUUGGUUGCAUGAUGAAUGAGAAAUUUCAUAUUUGGAAAUUAGACUAAUUCAUUGACAAAGUGUCAAGUGAAGGACUAGGAAAUCGAGUACACAAAGUUGUGUAGUGAUCAAGUCCACCAUAAGAGUGACAAAGAUAUUCGUCAUGAUUUACUAAAGGUUUAGUAAAUGUAAUUAUACUUACAAGAUUAAGUGUAAUUCUAGAUUGAUUGAAAAAGGUUUAAAUCAAUAGCAGAACGAAUAAGAAGAAUCAAGUAGGCAGAAAGAUAAAAGUUUCUCCAUUCUAAGAAGAAGGGAGAGUACCUUUUAUGCUUUAUGAUAGGUCUUAAUGAUUAAGAACCAUAUCUCAAUUGAUCCUCUAAGUGAGUCUUAGUACAAUUGUAUGUCUAAGAAGAGGAAUCAAGAAUUGAAGAAAUGGUUAAAUCAAUAAGUCAAUCAUACUUCGUUCCAAUAACAAGUCUUAAAGUUAAGAUUGUGACAUUGAGUGAAAGGUAUUAAGAAGGUUUGUAACUUUCAUUAAAUGUGGAAAGUUGUGAUGUCUUGGAUAAGACAAAGACCAACUAGGACCAAUUUAUGAAGUGUUUUGAUAAAAGCUACACUAACUCUUGAAUAUUUGUUUGUCAAGAAAUGGUUAUUGACAAGAGAAUCUUAUAUGUCAAGGAGUCAGUGGGAGUCUUAAUGGUCUUGAAAGGUUUCAAGAACAAAUCAAAUAAACCUUAUCGAUCAUCACUAGCACACGAGUUGAGGUUUACAACCUAUCGUGUUGACAUUAUUUUGAUUCUGUGCCAAUCCAAUCGAGUUAAUUAUGCAUGUGAGUUCUAUGAGUUCUCAUUUUGAACGCAUAAAAGGCAAAGCACCUUAAUCAAUGAAAGGUACAUUGAUAGGAAAGGGUGAGCUGCUUAACUACUUGGAAGACAUGGUGGGCAGCUGUGCUACCAUAAGGCAAGAAAUCAAGAUUAAGAAAGUUCGGUCCAUAUGAGUUUGAAUUUGUCGUAAACUUUGGUUUUAACAAAUUCACAUGGAUAGGAACACAUACACCGUUUAAAUCUAAGUGUCAUAAGAUUUCCUCCUUCAUGAAAAUGAUUGUGAGGAAAUGCUUUCACUAAGAAAGAUUUUAAGAAGAUAGUGAUUGUAAAAUUGCAUUCUCGAAUUCAAUUAUGGUUACGGCAUCCCUUUCCAUAAUUUGAAUUGUGAGGUUUGGCAAUUAGUCUUAAUUGUUUAGACACACAUAUGAACUAUCGAAGGCAAAGGUGUAUAAGUUCAAGAAGCCUUGAUAAAAGAUUAUCAAAGCACUAAGUAUUAGAAACAUGAACUUAAGAAAUUCAAUAAGCAUUGUUUUUCUGAAAGUUAAGAUGUUUAUGAAUACAUGUCGAAGCUAGUGGGAGCAUAAGUGUUAUGUUUUAUAAUAAUCAUCAUGAUAGUGGGAGCAUAAAUGUUAUGAUUGUAUGAUUAUUAAGGAAAGUAUUGCAAGGUUAGCAAUAUUAAUUAUAGAAAACAAGAGUCAUACUUUGCAAAGUUGUAAGAGUUGAAAAGUUGUUUUGCUAUAAUUAAGGGAGAGAAUAUUAUGCUUCAUUUCAAAUCUAAAGGAUUAGGUUGAGAAAUGUUAAUAAAUUUAGUCAAAGGUACAUAGUGUGUUCUUAAAAUUUCGAUUAUGAUUACGGCAUUCCUCUUCACAAUUCGAAUUUUGAGAACAUAGCAAAUAAAACAUUAUGCGUCGUGUCCCAUACGCUUCGGGUAUAGGAUCGAUUGCAAAUGCUUUAAUGUUUGACCAUUCUAAAAUUUUCCAAAUGUCUAGCGCAUUUAGAGGGAAAAAGGACUAGAAUCGGUUUUGACUAAAAUAAUUAAACAACUAUCAAAGGACAAUCCAAAGUUCGACGAGGAUUGGUCGCUUGUGAGUAGUUGGAAGUAUAGUAUUGGAAAAUAUGGAAAUGUUUCCAUAUUGGAUGGACCAUAUCGACAUCAUUACGAAUAGAUAAGAUUCUAUUAAGAAUGAGUUGUCAUAUGGAAAAUAUGGAAACGUGUCCAUAUUGGGAAUUGAAUAUUGAAAAUCUAUGUCUAGAUUAGAAACUUUUAUGCAAAAGGAUGUUCAAAGGAAUGUACUUUGAGUGAGAGACAUCAUAUCUAAGGAAUUGUCUUGUAACAAUCUCCGAUAGAGGACUUUGUAAUAUCAUUGGCAAUAGUCUUUGUGACUUUGGUGCAGUGACAUUACGAAAGGAUCGUUGCAUAAAAUGUUAGAAUCUAGCAUAUUCUAUAAGUAGCAAGAAUUUGAUAUUCUUACACUUAUGAAAAAGGAUUUGGAGUUGUGAAAUGAGAAUGAUUGGAAAUGUGUUCAAUUUGAUCUAUUUCACAAAGUAAGAACCAUAGGUAAACAUUGUGUGCAUGCUAGGAGCAUGGGACAAGUGUAAUAAUUCAAGUAAGAAGUUGAUUACCCGAAACGACAAAUAAUGAGUAAUCGAUAUGGUGAUAAAUAAAAGGUGUUUUAUUUAUACUCAAAGGUUUGAGGCCAUAUGGGAUUAGUAUUAUUCUUGUGUUUCACAUUUGCAUGUUUUGACUUCCAGAAUAAUUGAGUUUAUUAAGAAUAAUCGAAUUAUUCGAACGGGCCACAGUCGUUCAUAUGUUGGAAGUAGAUAUGAAUGAAGACUGUCGUGAAUUGGUGUGUGGAUUGUCUAAAGAGUAUUAGACAUAAGCAAAUGUUUGCUGCAACGUUCAUGAGUGCUUAUGAAUAUGAUUUGAGCAUUGGAUUAAACCCACGCUCACUUGGAUCACUCCAUGAAUUGUAUCACGAGUGAUUGGUGAGACGAUAACAUCUUAUAUUCUUGAAACCGAGAUGUGUGAGUUGUAUCUUGCAAAUCGGUUGCACAUUGAUAAUAUGUAAACGCACUAGUAACUUGGUGUUAUAAAACAUAUUGUUGUGUGUGAUUCGGUGAGUGAGUGCAAGCAAGCAUUGUAUCAAAGUUUAUCCGUUCCUUUUAUCCAAAGUAGGAUAAAAGCGAUAUCUUUGGGCCCCUCGAUGAUUUAGUGAUGACAAACGUAAAUGCUCGGCCGGGCUAGGGCUAAUUUGAUUUGUUCAAUUAGUCAGUCGUCAUAAAUUGGGAAUCGAGAUAUAGUACAAAGAGAAUGAUUUGAAAUCAUAUCUCAUAUGAUAUCUAGAAUGGAGGAAUAUAUGAUCCCUUAUCUAAGGACACGCGUAUCUGAUAGGAUCAGAGUUGACAGCGGCUUUGGAAAGCUACGAUUGCAGAUCAGGAUCUGAAGUCAUACGCAUAAUAGUUAUUAGACUUAUCCAAGUGGGAGACUGUUGGAUUAGUGUCUAAGUCCAUAACUAUUUUGGUAUGUACUUGACCCGAUGGUGCAUGGUCCUUUUGGGUUGCCUUCACCAAAGCAACUUGAUAGGAUGAAUUAUGGAGAGAAAGGAUUAAAUAUGAUUUAUUAAUAUAUUAUGAGAAUAAUAUAUUAAAGGAGAAAUCAUAUUGUUUAAUUAAUAUUAGUCAAUAAUUAAUUGGUAAUUAGUUUUGUGACUAAAAGAGAUUAAUUAAACUUAAGGGACUGGAAUUGUAAUUAUAAGAUAAUUGCAAUUUGGGCUAUGGAUUGUCUUAAAUUAAGGAGUGGACGAAUUCUAUGGGGAAGCCCAUAAGGAAAUCGUCCAAGGCCUUAAUUAAAGGAGUCCAUGGGUUGCUUAGGGCUUAAGCAUCCAAAUUAGGGUUUCCUUGUUAGAUAACCCUAAUAGCCUCCUAUAUAAAGACCCCCCAAGGCUCAUGAAUUCGUCCAUGCCUUCCCAAGAGGUCCUAGAGACGAAUUCUUACACCUCUCCUCUCUCUUUAUACCUUCUCCAUUUGCUCUUGGUGUUUGUAAGCCAUUAGAGGAGUGACACUUGUGACUCUAAGCCUUCCAAAGUCAAUUCAAGGAGGAAUUGGGAUUGUUAUUACUACAUAACAAUCAAGGUAAUAUCAUAAACCUAAUUAUAUGUUAAUAUCUAUUUCCAUAUGCUAGAAUUAGGGUUUAUAGUCUUGGAUUCAAAGCAUGUACAAUAGAGAAACCUAGAUCCAAGCAUUAGGGUUUGUAUGAGCACAUAGGAUGUCUUAUGACCAAA